UGUCAACUAAAAAAAAUAAUCAAUAUAGUUGAUUAUUACUGAUUCGUCCUUAAAUAUAUGAUUCUUUUGAGAAAUUUAAAUAUCUUAACUAAAAUUAAUAUUUAUUAUAUUCUUUUUUAAUUAGAUUAUAUUAUCAUUUAAAAACUAUAAUCAAAACACAAAUAUAUAAUUCCUCCGGUCAUAUAGGCAUUUCAAAUUUUACUACAUGUGUACUGAACAAAUUCCAGUGUGUUAAAAAAAAAAUUAAAAUUUUAGUCACUAUUAUAAGCAAAAGUUAAGUAAAUGCGAUUUAUAUUGAACAUAUUGAUUUAUGCAUGUUAAAUUUAUAUUAUUUUUUUAUUUUUUAUUUUUAAAUUUAAAAUAUAUUAAAAUGUUUUUUUUUU
RNAcentral lists this long non-coding RNA (383 nucleotides) under Trifolium pratense (red clover). RNAcentral describes it as "long non-coding RNA (TPRA_LNC006101)". The record is from RNAcentral. Lineage: Eukaryota; Viridiplantae; Streptophyta; Magnoliopsida; Fabales; Fabaceae.